Molecule: non-coding RNA, 2144 nt
Organism: Camellia sinensis
Lineage: Eukaryota; Viridiplantae; Streptophyta; Magnoliopsida; Ericales; Theaceae
Source: RefSeq, a predicted model, not a curated record
CAUCACUAGUACAACCUUUUAGUACACUAGUUUCAGGGAAGCUACCAAACAUAGAAAAUGUUUUCCGCUGAAACAAAUGGAGCAUAAGAAAAUGGUUCGAAUGUUCUCUGUACAUUCUUCCAAAGAGAGUUUUUGGCCAAGAUAUUGUCUCUGGAACAUUUGAAGGAGUAAUAACACUGACAUCUCUGUGCUCCUUUUCUGUCUUUUUCUUCCAGCUAGCAGCAGAAUAUUCAGAGUGUCCAUCAGGGAAGAAGGGUGGAGACUUGGGAUGGUUUCCGCGAGGCAAGAUGGCUGGUCCAUUUCAGGUUGUUGCCUUUAUUACACCUGUUGGAGCUACCAGUGCACCAUUUAAAUCAAUGCAUGGAUACCACAUUAUCUUGUCCGAAGAGAGGAAGAAUUGAUAGAACUUGGCAUUCGAAGUUAGGCUCUGUUGGAUUAUCAACCAUGAAAUCGAAAUGCGCGACUUUAGGAAGAGAGAGAAAUCGAGUCUUGGAUCUUUGAGGCAUUAGACCUUUGAUCUCCAUCAGUUCUUCGGUUGUUUGAUUUGAAAAAUCUUGUUCUGCUCUUGAUUUGAACGAAUAUCUUCCAGAUUGUUCGAAUCCCUAUGAUCUAAAUCAAUCUAGGGCUCAAGGUUAGCGUUUUCAGGAGUGUAUAUCUUACAGAUUGUUCGAAUCCAUAUGAUCUAAAUCGGUCUAGGGCUCAAGGUUAGGGUUUUCUAAUAUGGAUUUGCUACAUUCACACAAGAUCUAUAAAAUUCCAUGGCUAAAACAAACGAUUUGGAAUUGUUUCUCUCGAUUUAGUUGAUUUCCAGCUUUUUUUUUGCUUUUGCUUUUGUUUUGUGUUUCUCUUUUCGUUUUUGCUCCUUUACUCUUUCUAGUCCUUGUAUGGAAAACUCUUCUCUUUGAUCAGAUUGAGCAGCAGAAAUGGCGAAUCGAUUUAUCUAGGGUUUCGAGUGCGGUGUUAGUGUCUCUGAUCAUGUACGGGAAAAGCAAUUGGCAUUGGAUGUGGAUCAUUGGAAACAGUGACUAGGAGCUCAACGAUGAAGAGAUAUAGAUCAUAGUUAUUCUUGUGGUUGAUUUUCACUGAACUUCGUUCUGAUUUCUAACAAGUAAUCUUUGCUCAAAAUCAUGAUUCCCUUCAGCUUCGUUUUGCGGGUGAUCUUCUAAUGGAGUUGGGUGCUGGGGUAGAGUUGGCAACUACAGCUGUGCCACACCUUUUUCUGCCUUUAGCUUGUGCUACCAAUGUGGCCAAGAAUAUUGGUGCUGUCACAUCAACCUCGACUCGCACUCCAAUAUACAAAGCCUUUGCCAAAGGUGAAAACAUUGGGGAUGUUACUGCGAAGGGAGAAUGUGUUGGCAAUGUUGCCGAUCUGGUAUGCUUCUCCAACUUCCAUUACAAUUUCCAGAAGCUUGUGUUUGCACCGGGCCAAUUGAGAACAUAUUUUGAUGGCUGCUAUAGUGACUGUUGCCACAUAGUUAAAUUGAUCUUUAUAUUUUGUACUUUGUUUCCAGUCCUAAUAUUAUUUGGAGAACAGAGAGGCAUUACUGAAGGAGAUGGGUUUCAUUACUCUGUAUAGUUAAUCGAGUGCAUCAAAAAUAUAGUCAAUCCCAUUAAUUUCCCCUUGGCAUUUUACUAGACCUUUUUUUAGUGACACAAGCAAAUCAGAGUAAGGCAUUACACUGUAUUUUAUAUAUAUAUAUAUAUAUAACUAAGUGGAACAUAUGAAAUACGUAGAGACAUCAUGUUACAAGAAGCACUUGCACUCGACUCGACUGCAAUAGACAAAAGCUGUUUUUUUGCUAUCCAACAAAAAUGGCAAUUAGAUAUUGGUCAGUACUAGUAGUCUUGGAAGUUGACCUUCUCAUUAUUAUGAUUUAGCUGAUACUAUAAAUUGACCUUUCUGCAACUUCUCAUUUUGAAAGAUUGAAACUAAAAAAAAAAAAAUGUUUGGUAGUUUUUCCUAUAAUUUGAUGGAUGCUACAGAUUCAAACUUCUCAUUUUUUGUUUUUGUUGUACUCAGUUACAGUUUAUCUUGCAUUUAGGCACAUAGUUUUGUGACUCAUGAUUAUUUGGAGUAAAGUCUGCAAGUUGCGUUAUAAGGGCAUGUGUAGACACCCCAUUUUUGACCGACCUUGAGACUCAGA